CCUACGGGAGGCAGCAGUGGGGAAUAUUGGGCAAUGGGCGCAAGCCUGACCCAGCAACGCCGCGUGAAGGAAGAAGGCUUUCGGGUUGUAAACUUCUUUUGUCAGGGAAGAGUAGAAGACGGUACCUGACGAAUAAGCCACGGCUAACUACGUGCCAGCAGCCGCGGUAAUACGUAGGUGGCAAGCGUUGUCCGGCUUUACUGGGUGUAAAGGGCGUGUAGCCGGGUUGACAAGUCAGAUGUGAAAUCCUGCGGCUUAACCGCAGAAAUGCAUUUGAAACUGUUGAUCUUGAGUACUGGAGAGGCAGGCGGAAUUCCAAGUGUAGCGGUGAAAUGCGUAGAUAUUAGGAGGAACACCAGUGGCGAAGGCGGUCUGCUGGACAGCAACUGACGGUGAGGCGCGAAAGCGUGGGGAGCAAACAGGAUUAGAUACCCGAGUAGUC
RNAcentral lists this ribosomal RNA (442 nucleotides) under uncultured bacterium. RNAcentral's name for it is "partial 16S ribosomal RNA". It matches the Rfam family "Bacterial small subunit ribosomal RNA", at positions 338 to 795 of the family's 1533-position model. The record is from RNAcentral.